UGGGGAAUAUUGCACAAUGGGCGCAAGCCUGAUGCAGCCAUGCCGCGUGUAUGAAGAAGGCCUUCGGGUUGUAAAGUACUUUCAGCGGGGAGGAAGGGAGUAAAGUUAAUACCUUUGCUCAUUGACGUUACCCGCAGAAGAAGCACCUGCUAACUCCGUGCCAGCAGCCGCGGUAAUACGGAGGGUGCAAGCGUUAAUCGGAAUUACUGGGCGUAAAGCGCACGCAGGCGGUUUGUUAAGUCAGAUGUGAAAUCCCCGGGCUCAACCUGGGAAUUGCAUCUGAUACUGGCCAGCUUGAGUAUCGUAGAGGGGGGUAGAAUUCCAGGUGUAGCGGUGAAAUGCGUAGAGAUCUGGUGGAAUACCGGUGGCGAAGGCGGCCCCCUGGACGAAGACUGACGCUCAGGUGCGACAGCGUGGGGAGCAAACAGG
RNAcentral lists this ribosomal RNA (429 nucleotides) under Chloroflexota bacterium. RNAcentral's name for it is "Chloroflexi bacterium partial 16S ribosomal RNA". It matches the Rfam family "Bacterial small subunit ribosomal RNA", at positions 355 to 776 of the family's 1533-position model. The record is from RNAcentral. Lineage: Bacteria; Bacillati; Chloroflexota.